CUGGUGCUUGCACUGGUGAUUAGUGGCGAACGGGUGAGUAACACGUGAGUAACCUGCCCUUGACUCUGGGAUAAGCCUGGGAAACUGGGUCUAAUACCGGAUAUGACCUUCCAUCGCAUGGUGGUUGGUGGAAAGCUUUUGUGGUUUUGGAUGGACUCGCGGCCUAUCAGCUUGUUGGUGAGGUAAUGGCUUACCAAGGCGACGACGGGUAGCCGGCCUGAGAGGGUGACCGGCCACACUGGGACUGAGACACGGCCCAGACUCCUACGGGAGGCAGCAGUGGGGAAUAUUGCACAAUGGGCGCAAGCCUGAUGCAGCGACGCCGCGUGAGGGAUGACGGCCUUCGGGUUGUAAACCUCUUUCAGUAGGGAAGAAGCGAAAGUGACGGUACCUGCAGAAGAAGCGCCGGCUAACUACGUGCCAGCAGCCGCGGUAAUACGUAGGGCGCAAGCGUUAUCCGGAAUUAUUGGGCGUAAAGAGCUCGUACGCGGUUUGUCGCGUCUGCCGUGAAAGUCCGGGGCUCAACUCCGGAUCUGCGGUGGGUACGGGCAGACUAGAGUGAUGUAGGGGAAUACUGGAAUUCCUGGUGUACCGCUGAAAUGCGCAGAUAUCAGGAGGAACACCGAUGGCAAAAGCAGGUCUCUUGGCCAUAAACUGAAGGCUAAAGAGCAAAAGCAUGGGACAGCGAACAGGGAUCAAGAACCCCCUGGGGACCCCAAGGCCGUUAAACCCUUGCCCCCUAAGUUAUGGGCGGAAGAAUA
Molecule: ribosomal RNA, 761 nt
Filed under: Arthrobacter globiformis
Lineage: Bacteria; Bacillati; Actinomycetota; Actinomycetes; Micrococcales; Micrococcaceae
Description: bacterial SSU rRNA
Rfam family: Bacterial small subunit ribosomal RNA
Source: RNAcentral